Molecule: non-coding RNA, 145 nt
Organism: Gossypium hirsutum (cotton)
Lineage: Eukaryota; Viridiplantae; Streptophyta; Magnoliopsida; Malvales; Malvaceae
Source: Rfam
UGUUAAAAAUUUCAUCCAUUUGUACUGUUAAAAAUUGACGUGACGAGCAGAAUAACAAAUGAGUUACACAUGUCAUGCUACGUGUAUCUCAUGCUAAUGUACAUGGACCAAUUUUUAACGGUACAAAUAGAUGAUUUUUUUAACA